Molecule: ribosomal RNA, 646 nt
Filed under: Salmonella enterica
Lineage: Bacteria; Pseudomonadati; Pseudomonadota; Gammaproteobacteria; Enterobacterales; Enterobacteriaceae
Also listed under: 1 other name
Description: partial 23S ribosomal RNA
Rfam family: Bacterial large subunit ribosomal RNA
Source: RNAcentral
GGGUUGUGAGGUUAAGCGACUAAGCGUACACGGUGGAUGCCCUGGCAGUCAGAGGCGAUGAAGGGCGUGCUAAUCUGCGAUAAGCGCCGGUAAGGUGAUAUGAACCGUUAUAACCGGCGAUACCCGAAUGGGGAAACCCAGUGUGACUCGUCACACUAUCAUUAACUGAAUCCAUAGGUUAAUGAGGCGAACCGGGGGAACUGAAACAUCUAAGUACCCCGAGGAAAAGAAAUCAACCGAGAUUCCCCCAGUAGCGGCGAGCGAACGGGGAGGAGCCCAGAGCCUGAAUCAGCAUGUGUGUUAGUGGAAGCGUCUGGAAAGACGCGCGAUACAGGGUGACAGCCCCGUACACAAAAGCGUAUGUGCUGUGAGCUCGAUGAGUAGGGCGGGACACGUGGUAUCCUGUCUGAAUAUGGGGGGACCAUCCUCCAAGGCUAAAUACUCCUGACUGACCGAUAGUGAACCAGUACCGUGAGGGAAAGGCGAAAAGAACCCCGGCGAGGGGAGUGAAAAAGAACCUGAAACCGUGUACGUACAAGCAGUGGGAGCACAGGUUUACCUGUGUGACUGCGUACCUUUUGUAUAAUGGGUCAGCGACUUAUAUUCUGUAGCAAGGUUAACCGAAUAGGGGAGCCGGAGGGAAACC